UUUAUUGUUUGGUUAUCUUAUCUCGUUGAUUGCAUUUGGAUAGUUGUGGAUAGACAUGUAGAGCAGGCUUGCAUUUGUACUUUGCAUCUCUGUGGACCUUGGGUCCAGGCAACACAUCGACUCUCUUGUCAUGUGUUUCGAUCUGGUUGAUCGUGGCUCGGCAUUGUACGCCUUUGUUUCUGGCUUCGUUCUAGGCACCGGCUUUAGCCGGUUUUUGUUUGAGCAUACUAGCAUGACUUAGUCACAACACUUGGGGGUAUUCAUGACACCGGAUCGGUUUGGCCACCGAUCGGAGGUGUACUUAUCCGGAUGGGUCGUCCUGUGGGGCGGAUGGAUCAGGUCGGUGCAGAUAGUGACAGGCAGCGCUUGAGGUCUACGGACCAAUAUAGCAGGCACA
RNAcentral lists this long non-coding RNA (397 nucleotides) under Ananas comosus (pineapple). RNAcentral describes it as "long non-coding RNA (ACOM_LNC029130)". The record is from RNAcentral. Lineage: Eukaryota; Viridiplantae; Streptophyta; Magnoliopsida; Poales; Bromeliaceae.